CCUACGGGUGGCAGCAGUGGGGAAUAUUGCACAAUGGAGGGAACUCUGAUGCAGCGACGCCGCGUGAGUGAAGAAGUAAUUCGUUAUGUAAAGCUCUAUCAGCAGGGAAGAAAGUGACGGUACCUGAAAAAGAAGCUCCGGCUAAAUACGUGCCAGCAGCCGCGGUAAUACGUAUGGAGCAAGCGUUAUCCGGAUUUACUGGGUGUAAAGGGAGAGUAGGUGGCAGAGCAAGUCCGAAGUGAAAACCCAAAGCUCAACUAUGGGAAUGCUUUAGAAACUGGUCAGCUAGAGUGCAGGAGAGGCAAGUGGAAUUCUUAGUGUAGCGGUGAAAUGCGUAGAUAUUAGGAGGAACACCAGUGGCGAAGGCGGCAUACCGGCGCUCAACUGACGCUCAUGCACGAAAGUGUGGGUAUCGAACAGGAUUAGAUACCCUAGUAGUC
This 440-nucleotide ribosomal RNA is filed under the name uncultured bacterium. RNAcentral describes it as "partial 16S ribosomal RNA". It matches the Rfam family "Bacterial small subunit ribosomal RNA", at positions 338 to 795 of the family's 1533-position model. The record is from RNAcentral.